GACGUAGGAUGCAAGCGUUGUCCGGAAUUAUUGGGCGUAAAGAGUUCGUAGGUGGUUUGCCAAGUCUGACGUUAAAGCCCGGAGCUCAACUCCGGUUCGGCAUCGGAAACUGGCAGGCUAGAGUCUGGUAGAGGCAAAGGGAAUUCCCGGUGUAGCGGUGAAAUGCGUAGAUAUCGGGAGGAACCCCAGAGGCGAAGGCGGCGUCCUGGCUCGCAUCUGACGCUCAGACACGACAGCAUGGGGAGCGAACGGG
RNAcentral lists this ribosomal RNA (253 nucleotides) under uncultured bacterium. RNAcentral describes it as "partial 16S ribosomal RNA". It matches the Rfam family "Bacterial small subunit ribosomal RNA", at positions 524 to 776 of the family's 1533-position model. The record is from RNAcentral.